Hirundo rustica (Barn swallow) is the source of this 690-nucleotide long non-coding RNA. RefSeq lists it as uncharacterized. The transcript has 3 exons. Lineage: Eukaryota; Metazoa; Chordata; Aves; Passeriformes; Hirundinidae. The record is from RefSeq and is a predicted model, not a curated record.
CGGACGUGUUCUGGAGCCAAUCCAGGGAGGCUGUUCGUCUGUAAACUAACCCACAGAAGUGAACAGAGAGGGGAAAAAAAAAAAAAAUCUACAACGAAACAAAAAAACUUUUCUGUCAGAUCUGCUCCAAGAAGAGGUUCACAGAAGGAUCAGACAAGAGCCAGUGCCAGCGCAGUGCAGAAGGUGGAAACACAGAGCCAGUGCCAAUAGAGGAGAGGACAAGGCAGCCCAAACUUAGAUCAACUCCAGCUGUGAUGGACCCAGAGCCGGAGUCAGCCUGAGCACUUAGAAGCUUUCGAAAACCUCUGCAUUUUUUCUAAAAACACUGACAUAGGAUGAAUUGAAACCAUCUCAAUUCACCCAAAAUCUUAGCUCUCCUGUGGAAAGACAGAUAAAAGAUUAAAUCCUUAGAGAACAAAGAGAAAUCCAAAGAAAUUCCUCCAUCCUAAACUGUCACCGGGAUUAUAAAUCAACUAAUUACAAUGCAAGAAUAUGAACUGGGCUGCUUAUAGGACAGUGUGCAAGUUUAAAACUGCUCUACACUGAAGGGGAUUUAAUUUAUUCACACUGUCCUGGACUAGAACCUCAUUUCCCGCACAACUAUUAAAAGUACCUAGACGUACUAGCACCAUGAAAACCUUGAAAGGAUUCUGCACCCGCUUAAAUUCAGAACAAUCUUCCAACAAAAGG